This 164-nucleotide small nuclear RNA is filed under the name Dendronephthya gigantea. RNAcentral's name for it is "U1 spliceosomal RNA". It matches the Rfam family "U1 spliceosomal RNA". Rfam says of the family: U1 is a small nuclear RNA (snRNA) component of the spliceosome (involved in pre-mRNA splicing). Its 5' end forms complementary base pairs with the 5' splice junction, thus defining the 5' donor site of an intron. The record is from RNAcentral. Lineage: Eukaryota; Metazoa; Cnidaria; Anthozoa; Malacalcyonacea; Nephtheidae. RNAcentral also lists the same sequence under 1 other name.
AUACUUACCUGACGCGAGAGGCACCUUGAUCAACUAGGAGGUCCUCUCAGGAUGAGGCCCUUUCAUUGCACUUCGACUGGGUUGACUCCUGCGAUUACCCCUAAUGUGGGUAACUCGAGCGUAUAAUUUCUGGUAGUGGGGACCUGCGUUCGCGCUCGUCCCCU